RNAcentral lists this ribosomal RNA (386 nucleotides) under uncultured bacterium. RNAcentral describes it as "bacterial SSU rRNA". It matches the Rfam family "Bacterial small subunit ribosomal RNA", at positions 28 to 417 of the family's 1533-position model. The record is from RNAcentral.
GACGAACGCUGGCGGCGUGCUUAACACAUGCAAGUGGAGCGACGAACCAGGGGCUUGCCCUUGGGGCAGAGCCGCGAACGGGUGAGUAACACGUGGGUUACCUGCCCCGAUGACCGGGACAACCCGAGGAAACUCGGGCUAAUACCGGAUGUGGUCUACGGACGAAAGGAAGCUUCGGCCUCCGCAUCGGGGAUGGGGCCCGCGGCGCAUUAGCUUGUUGGUGGGGUAACGGCCUACCAAGGCGACGAUGCGUAGCUGGUCUGAGAGGACGAUCAGCCACACUGGGACUGAGACACGGCCCAGACUCCUACGGGAGGCAGCAGUGGGGAAUCUUGCGCAAUGCGCGAAAGCGUGACGCAGCAACGCCGCGUGAGGGAAGACGGCCU